UGCUGAUAGCAAAAUAGACAAGUUGCACGGCGUCCGCCAUGAUUGUUUACCUCUGGGAGGCACCAGCCAACGACGUGGGACCGACGCAAAACACUGCGUCAUAUCCGGGCAAGAGAAAGGAAGAGGAAACUGAGGAUCACAUGAAGUCAAACCCAGAAGGAUCUGUCCUCAGGGCCGAGAUGGCUCCACUGUGGAGGAAUGACUUUCACCUUUGGGUUGAUGCCCUUGUCAGCCAGGCAAAUGAACCUGUGUUGCAUGAGCAGUAGGUCAAGGCCAAAUGUCACGUCCUGGACAUUAUGUCCAUCAUGCACACGGGAGUUCAAUGACCCGGGCCAGCCAAAAGCAGUG
RNAcentral lists this long non-coding RNA (348 nucleotides) under Myripristis murdjan (pinecone soldierfish). Its description in RNAcentral is "lncRNA (ENSMMDG00005014500.1)". The record is from RNAcentral. Lineage: Eukaryota; Metazoa; Chordata; Actinopteri; Holocentriformes; Holocentridae.